Molecule: transfer RNA, 74 nt
Filed under: Actinomycetota bacterium
Lineage: Bacteria; Bacillati; Actinomycetota
Description: tRNA-Gln
Rfam family: tRNA
About the family: Transfer RNA (tRNA) molecules are approximately 80 nucleotides in length.
Source: RNAcentral
UGCCCACUAGCACAACUGGCAGUUGCGCCGGAAUCUGACUCCGGAGGUUCGAGGUUCGACUCCUCGGUGGGCAG